GGUAGGAAUGGGUAAUUAUAGCGAGCUAGAAAGCCAAAGGUC
Molecule: unclassified non-coding RNA, 42 nt
Filed under: Streptococcus thermophilus ND03
Lineage: Bacteria; Bacillati; Bacillota; Bacilli; Lactobacillales; Streptococcaceae
Description: CTR1 from Streptococcus thermophilus ND03 (PDB 6IFK, chain J)
Source: RNAcentral